RNAcentral lists this ribosomal RNA (936 nucleotides) under uncultured cyanobacterium. RNAcentral's name for it is "bacterial SSU rRNA". It matches the Rfam family "Bacterial small subunit ribosomal RNA", at positions 427 to 1378 of the family's 1533-position model. The record is from RNAcentral. Lineage: Bacteria; Bacillati; Cyanobacteriota.
AAACCCCUUUUCUCAGGGAAGAAGCUCUGACGGUACCUGAGGAAUCAGCAUCGGCUAACUCCGUGCCAGCAGCCGCGGUAAUACGGAGGAUGCAAGCGUUAUCCGGAAUUAUUGGGCGUAAAGCGUCCGUAGGUGGUUCAUCAAGUCAGUUGUCAAAAGCGUGGGCUUAACCCCAUACCGGCGAUUGAAACUGGUGGACUAGAGUUGGUAGGGGUCAGGGGAAUUCCCAGUGUAGCGGUGAAAUGCGUAGAUAUUGGGAAGAACACCGGUGGCGAAAGCGCCUGACUGGGCCUGAACUGACACUGAGGGACGAAAGCUAGGGGAGCGAAAGGGAUUAGAUACCCCUGUAGUCCCUAGCCUGUAAACGAUGGGGUACUAGGUGUUGCCCGUAUCGACCCGGGCAGUGCCGUAGCUAACGCGUUAAGUAUCCCGCCUGGGGAGUACGCUCGCAAGAGUGAAACUCAAAGGAAUUGACGGGGCCCGCACAAGCGGUGGAGUAUGUGGUUUAAUUCGAUGCAACGCGAAGAACCUUACCAGGGUUUGACAUGUCCGGAACCUCGGUGAAAGCUGAGGGUGCCUUCGGGAACCGGAACACAGGUGCUGCAUGGCUGUCGUCAGCUCGUGUCGUGAGAUGUUGGGUUAAGUCCCGCAACGAGCGCAACCCUUGUCGUUAGUUGCCAGCAUGAAGAUGGGCACUCUAGCGAGACUGCCGGUGACAAACCGGAGGAAGGUAAGGAUGACGUCAAGUCAGCAUGGCCCUUACAUCCUGGGCUACACACGUACUACAAUGCUACGGACAAAGGGCAGCCAACCUGCGAAGGAGAGCAAAUCCCGUAAACCGUGGCACAGUUCAGAUUGCAGGCUGCAACUCGCCUGCAUGAAGGCGGAAUCGCUAGUAAUCGCCGGUCAGCAUACGGCGGUGAAUACGUUCCCGGG